This is a long non-coding RNA of Macadamia integrifolia, 777 nucleotides long. RefSeq lists it as uncharacterized. Lineage: Eukaryota; Viridiplantae; Streptophyta; Magnoliopsida; Proteales; Proteaceae. The record is from RefSeq and is a predicted model, not a curated record. The transcript is spliced from 3 exons.
GAGACUGGGGUGAUGAAGAACCGAGGAGCAGCUUCUCAAAGAGGGAGGCAUUCACGAUCAAGAAUAGCAAAACAGAUUGAACAAGAACUGUAAUCGGGUUCGUCGGGGAAAGAUUGAUCUCGAAGUUGCUCAGGUUACAGAUGUGCAGAACUAUAGUUAUCGGCAGCAAUGAAUGCGAUGAAAUCUCCUAAUUCUAUUCUGAGAUAAGAGAAAGACCCACCUGCAACUGGGAUAUCAACAGCAAAUUCUGUAUAGCAGAAAGCAGAGAGAGGCAGAGAGACCUGAAGCGGCAUAGGAUAGAACAAUGGUAGGCCGACAUGGUUGUGAGCUUCUUGACCUGUGAGAAUGAAGAUGCCAAUGCCAACAAUAGAGCCGAAGCUAACCAGAUGAGAUCCCACCAUGUGAGGCAUCGUUUCAUGCUAUUCUUGCUCUGUCUACUCAACACUUCCAACUCGUUUGACUAGGUGGAGCAGUCCAGGAGACGAUCCUUGAAUCAGAAACAUAUCUGAGAGAACACUGAUCUAUAGCUACUCCAGCUUUGAAAGGACUGUUCAGGGAAGAAAUCUUGUUUGCUCCCAUCUCCAAUAGCUUCUCUCUUGACCUCCUUCAGCCUUCCAUCCAUGGCGUUGUUGGAACCUCAAGAGAAGUGAGAGAGAGUGCUUAUAUUUGUACUGAUCUUAGUUGGGUAGUUGCAGAGAGUUAUUAAUUACUGAUUCAUUAGAGAUAUUAAUAGGUUUUGAAUUUUUAAACAAAUGGAAAUCAACGAUUGACUGAUCU